This 253-nucleotide ribosomal RNA is filed under the name uncultured bacterium. RNAcentral's name for it is "partial 16S ribosomal RNA". It matches the Rfam family "Bacterial small subunit ribosomal RNA", at positions 524 to 776 of the family's 1533-position model. The record is from RNAcentral.
UACGGGGGGGGCAAGCGUUGUUCGGAAUUACUGGGCGUAAAGGGCGCGUAGGCGGCUUGACAAGUCAAAGGUGAAAUCCCUCGGCUCAACUGAGGAACUGCCUUUGAAACUGUCUGGCUUGAGGCCGGGAGGGGGUAGCGGAAUUCCCAGUGUAGCGGUGAAAUGCGUAGAUACUGGGAGGAACACCAGUGGCGAAGGCGGCUACCUGGACCGGUUCUGACGCUGAGGCGCGAAAGCGUGGGUAGCAAACAGG